RNAcentral lists this ribosomal RNA (251 nucleotides) under uncultured prokaryote. RNAcentral's name for it is "partial 16S rRNA". It matches the Rfam family "Bacterial small subunit ribosomal RNA", at positions 525 to 775 of the family's 1533-position model. The record is from RNAcentral.
ACGGAGGAUGCAAGCGUUAUCCGGAUUCAUUGGGUUUAAAGGGUGCGCAGGCGGAAUGCUAAGUCAGUGGUGAAAUCUCCCGGCUUAACCGGGAAACUGCCAUUGAUACUGUCAUUCUUGAGUACAGUUGAAGUGGGCGGAAUGUGUCAUGGAGCCUUCACAUACUUAUAUAUGCCACAAAUGCCCGAAAUCGGAGGGAGCUCAGUAAGGUUUCUGUGGUGGUCAUGUAAGAAAGCGUUGGGAUGGAACAG